RNAcentral lists this transfer RNA (74 nucleotides) under Bacteriophage sp. Its description in RNAcentral is "tRNA-Met". It matches the Rfam family "tRNA". Rfam says of the family: Transfer RNA (tRNA) molecules are approximately 80 nucleotides in length. RNAcentral also lists the same sequence under 1 other name. The record is from RNAcentral.
GGAUCAUUAGCUCAGUUGGUCAGAGCAACCGGCUCAUACCCGGUAAGUCGUAGGUUCGAGUCCUAUAUGAUCCA